GCACCGGUGGUGUAUGGUACACACAGUCAUCUCAUAAAACUGCCAGAUGGUACUGGGUAGUGACUGAGUCUGGGGUUCGAUUCCCCGCUGGUGCA
This is a non-coding RNA of Mycena galericulata, 95 nucleotides long. The record is from the annotation of a GenBank genome assembly. NCBI's taxonomy places the organism in Eukaryota, Fungi, Basidiomycota, Agaricomycetes, Agaricales, Mycenaceae.